GGGUAAGGGUGAAACGGUGGUGUAAGAGACCACCAGCACCCCGGGUGACCGGGGUGGCUCGGUAAACCCCACCCGGAGCAAGGUCAGACAGCAGGCGUUCGAGGGCGGCCCGCCCGAUGCCUGCGGGUAGACCGCACAGAGCCCGUCGGCGACGGCGGGCCGAGAUGGAUGGCCGCCGAACGGGCCGCCGCAAGGAACCCGGGAACAGGAUCCGGCUUACAGGCCAACUCGUCCG
This 235-nucleotide RNase P RNA is filed under the name Pseudonocardiales bacterium. Its description in RNAcentral is "partial RNase P RNA component class A". It matches the Rfam family "Bacterial RNase P class A", at positions 146 to 367 of the family's 367-position model. From Rfam's summary of the family: Ribonuclease P (RNase P) is a ubiquitous endoribonuclease, found in archaea, bacteria and eukarya as well as chloroplasts and mitochondria. The record is from RNAcentral. Lineage: Bacteria; Bacillati; Actinomycetota; Actinomycetes; Pseudonocardiales.